UGCAGUAAAAAUGUAAGUAUUUUGAAAAUAUUUUAGCUUGCUCCUCCUUACCAAUAUGCUAAUGAAAAGCAAGAGAAGAAAGGUUUCCCAUUUAUCAGAUACACACCAGUUCUUGGAAGGAAGUGUACCAGAAAACUUCUGUCUCCCUCCACAUUUCCCAGGCCAUCAGUCAGUACAUGAGACUCACCAGUGGGGGCCAAGUCUCAUCUCCUUUUCACACCUGACUAACCUCUGGUUUCUCUCACAUGUGGUUGAAGUUCUCAAGCUGUUCUCACCAUGGAUACAAAUGCCCAGGAUCUGCUAGUGACCUUUGCUUAAGCUCAUCUGGACCCCAGGGCUAGUGCCUUUUAUCAGAACACUCGAUAAACAAUGCUGUGGGGGAAUUACUCUGUUUUCUGUGAGCUUGACACCACUGACAGAGGACUCUACCUCAGCUGAGAUAAGAGGAUGAAUCUCAAAUUACUUGCCCUAUAAAUUAGACCAUUUUAAUGAGCCUUCCAUAUUUUCAUAUUGGAGCUACCAGG
This is a long non-coding RNA of Numida meleagris (helmeted guineafowl), 524 nucleotides long. RefSeq lists it as uncharacterized. The transcript has 3 exons. Lineage: Eukaryota; Metazoa; Chordata; Aves; Galliformes; Numididae. The record is from RefSeq and is a predicted model, not a curated record.